Molecule: ribosomal RNA, 189 nt
Filed under: uncultured bacterium
Lineage: Bacteria
Description: partial 16S ribosomal RNA
Rfam family: Bacterial small subunit ribosomal RNA
Source: RNAcentral
CUCCUACGGAGGCAGCAGUGGGGAAUAUUGCGCAAUGGCCGCAAGGCUGACGCAGCGACGCCGCGUGUGGGAUGACGCCCUUCGGGGUGUAAACCACUGUUGCCCGGGACGAACGAGGGGAUUUAUCCCCUGUGACGGUACCGGGUGAGGAAGCACCGGCUAACUCCGUGCCAGCAGCCGCGGUAAUAC